GACGAACGCUGGCGGCGUGCCUAAUACAUGCAAGUUGAGCGCUGAAGGUUGGUACUUGUACCAACUGGAUGAGCAGCGAACGGGUGAGUAACGCGUGGGGAAUCUGCCUUUGAGCGGGGGACAACAUUUGGAAACGAAUGCUAAUACCGCAUAAAAACUUUAAACACAAGUUUUAAGUUUGAAAGAUGCAAUUGCAUCACUCAAAGAUGAUCCCGCGUUGUAUUAGCUAGUUGGUGAGGUAAAGGCUCACCAAGGCGAUGAUACAUAGCCGACCUGAGAGGGUGAUCGGCCACAUUGGGACUGAGACACGGCCCAAACUCCUACGGGAGGCAGCAGUAGGGAAUCUUCGGCAAUGGACGAAAGUCUGACCGAGCAACGCCGCGUGAGUGAAGAAGGUUUUCGGAUCGUAAAACUCUGUUGGUAGGGAAGAACGUUGGUGAGGGUGGAAAGCUCAUCAAGUGACGGUAACUACCCAGAAAGGGACGGCUAACUACGUG
RNAcentral lists this ribosomal RNA (497 nucleotides) under uncultured bacterium. RNAcentral describes it as "partial 16S ribosomal RNA". It matches the Rfam family "Bacterial small subunit ribosomal RNA", at positions 28 to 507 of the family's 1533-position model. The record is from RNAcentral.